UACGAAGGGGGCUAGCGUUGCUCGGAAUUACUGGGCGUAAAGCGCACGUAGGCGGAUCUUUAAGUCAGGGGUGAAAUCCUGGAGCUCAACUCCAGAACUGCCUUUGAUACUGAGGACCUUGAGUUCGGGAGAGGUGAGUGGAACUGCGAGUGUAGAGGUGAAAUUCGUAGAUAUUCGCAAGAACACCAGUGGCGAAGGCGGCUCACUGGCCCGAUACUGAACGCUGAG
This 228-nucleotide ribosomal RNA is filed under the name uncultured bacterium. Its description in RNAcentral is "partial 16S ribosomal RNA". It matches the Rfam family "Bacterial small subunit ribosomal RNA", at positions 524 to 750 of the family's 1533-position model. The record is from RNAcentral.